GGGAGAACUUGGAAAGGUAACUUCCUGUGGCUUGUUCCUGUCUGAACCAAGUAGGAGUUUGCCUACCUGUUCUUGUGGAGCUGAAGCUACCAUUUCUUCUGUCCUAGUAUCCUGGUGGGAGAUCCUAUCAACUUUGUCUCCUAAUUUAUCAUCCAACUGUGGUGCUGAUUCCUGAGUGUGUUUCCUGACAUCUGUGAAGAGAACUGCUGGCAAGUCAGUAAACCUGUCUGUGGGAAAGGCCAGAAGCCAUCUUGGGCCCAGGCUGAAGAAGAUUUUAAAGAUGGUUUUCAGAUGGAUUAUCAGUGAAAACCCAGCAGACAACAGGAAGUAUAAUGGUUGUCCAUCAAUCAGAAAAUUAUGGUAUAUGAAUGCAAUAGACACUUGCUUCAUGACUGGUAGGGCGAAUUCUCAAGACUUCAUGCAUCGAAGAGGAGCUAAAUACUGUGGCAAAUGCAAGAACAUGGAGCCAGUACUGAAGCCAAAUUUUCACUAAAUAAUAAUGAAGCAGAGAAUAAAGUUUAGAAAAAUCUUAGUUUUAUUUCUCUA
This 546-nucleotide long non-coding RNA is filed under the name Monodelphis domestica (gray short-tailed opossum). RNAcentral's name for it is "lncRNA (ENSMODG00000033039.2)". The record is from RNAcentral. Lineage: Eukaryota; Metazoa; Chordata; Mammalia; Didelphimorphia; Didelphidae.